ACCAUCUCUUCCCAAACAGUCCCUAUAUAUAUAAAUCUUCUCUCUUACCGUGGUUGAUUAGAUUGAACUAUGGUUUCAUCAUUGAUCGAACCAUCAUAUUGCGAACGCAUUACUAGUUUAGGUAUGUGUUGUUUAUCCUAAUUUAUUUUGAUCGUUAGGUGUUGAUUUUUCCUAAUUUUUAUUCAUAACUGAGUGUGUGUUGAUUUCGAUUUACAAAAUUUGUAAUGUUUUAUGCAUAGUAUGUCUGUAUUGCUUUAAUUUUUUGGGAUUGUAGUUAAAAGUAAGGUGGGGUGGGUAUAGAGCUUCAUAAAUAAUGUGUAUUUUUUUUUCAUGAUAUUAACUUUGGGUAUUUUUUUAUGAAAAAUGUUUUGUAACUCGAAAGUUUCCCCCCCUCCGAAUCCCCUAACUGCCCAAAACGACGUCGUUUUGGGCAGUUUAUUUUAUUUUAUUUUAUUUUUUUUCUGAAACAGAGAGAGAGAGGGGGAGAAACAGAGGAGAGGAGAGAGGGAGAAAGAGAGAUGAUGAGAGGAGAGAAGGGAAACAGAGAGAGAGAGACGGCGGGUGCGACGGUGGGUGUGGCGAUGGCGGUGCGAGCGACGGUAGAUGUCGAUCGCAGAUCGCAGGUCGUCACUCGUGGUAGGUCGUCGCUCGUGGCAGCUCGUCGACCGAUCGCAGCUCGUCGGUCGAUCGUCUCCGCCCCGCCUCCGCCUCUGCCUCUGCCUCUGCCUCCGCUCGAUUGAUAUUGCCUCCUCCAGUCCUUCUUCUUCUUCUUCCUUCUCUUCUCUCUUCUUCUUCUUCUCUUGAUUUUUGGUUGAUUCGGGGGCUCCAAAUUCGAGCUCCCUAGCACGGCUCUUUUUUUAUUCACAUUUGUUUUUAUAUACUUUAAUUUUUCUGUAUUCAUGGCUUUUAUUACUUUAUUUUUUUGGGAUGUUAGUUAAAGUGAAGUGGGGUGGGGUAUAGAGGUUCAUAAGCAACAGAUAUAUUUUUUUUAUGAUGUUAACUUUGAAUUUUUUUUAUGAUGUUGACUUUUUAUUCAUAUAUUCGGUUCAUAUAUUCUGUUUAUAGUUGUAUUAAUAUAUUUCAUUCAUAUAUUCUGUUUGUGUUUAGAGAUUUUCAAAUUUUUCAUGCAUACCAUGCUUGUAUUGGUGUAAUUUUUUUGAAUUUUUGUGAAGGUGGGGUAUAUUUUGUUGUGGAACCAAGGGGAUUUGAAUUAAAUAUUGAGGAAUUGAAUUAAUAAUUAAAUAUUAAUUAAAUAGUGAUGAUCCUGAUCACAUUGCUGAUGGGAAUGAUGACAGUGGUUCAGAAGAAGAAGACAAUGAAAGUGAUGAACCUGACUGGUUGAAUGAGGAUUUAGAGAGGUCAGAUGCUGAUGAUAUUUUCCCAUUAAGGGAGACUGUAAAGAAAAGAAAGAGGCAACAUUAUUCAUGCGAUCAAGGGGUUGACAAAAGCCUAGGAUUACUAAAGUUGUCCAAAAUUCUCCACAUUUCCCAACUUGGAUGGGGCAACAUAUCUUCAUCUCAAUUAUGGCAGAGAAAAGGGUGGGCCAGUUGGAGGUGGCAGGGUUAUGUCUAGAUCCACAUUGAGAGACAGCUUUGUAACAAGAGGUAGAGGAGAAGGUGGGUCAAGCUAUAACUCAGAGGCAAACUGACAAAGGCAAAGCUAAAGCAUGAUGGAUUAGGCAUUUGUUUUUGUGUUUUGAGUUAGCUUUUGUUGUGUUUUAAUCUUGUUAAAUCAUUAAGUGGGUUGUACCAAUUUGUUUUUGAAGUUGCGACUGGCCAGUAAACAAUAGUGUCUUAGUUUAGUGUGUUUUGAGAAAGCCCAGUGGGUAGUACACAAUUUUUGCUUUAUGGCUUGUUGAUUUAUUAUUUGGCAUGAAGCACUAUGUUUGCUUUAUGGUUUGUAUUAAAAAAUUGUGGUUUGUAUUAAACUAGGUCUAUGUUGAAUAAUGGCUUGUAUUAAACUAAUGUGAGUUGAAUUAUACAAUUGUGAA
Molecule: non-coding RNA, 1990 nt
Organism: Camellia sinensis
Lineage: Eukaryota; Viridiplantae; Streptophyta; Magnoliopsida; Ericales; Theaceae
Source: RefSeq, a predicted model, not a curated record